Marmota flaviventris (yellow-bellied marmot) is the source of this 336-nucleotide non-coding RNA. Lineage: Eukaryota; Metazoa; Chordata; Mammalia; Rodentia; Sciuridae. The record is from the annotation of a RefSeq genome assembly.
AUGGACCUCCAGGCUCAAAUUGUCAGCUUCCUGCUGCUCAGUGUCACAGUGUCCAGUGGAGAAAUUGUGCUCACACAGUCUCCAGGGUCCCUGGAUGCUUCCCAAGGGGAGAAAGUCAUCAUGACCUGCACAGCCAGCUCCAGUAUAAGCACCAGCUAUUUGCACUGGUACCAACAGAAGCUGGGGGCCUUUCCACAGCUACUGAUAUAUAGAACCUCCACUCUAGCCUCCGGAGUCCCAGCACACUUCAGUGGCAUUGGGUCUGGGACCUCCUACACGCUCACCAUUAGCAGUGUGGAGGCUGAAGAUGUUGCAACCUACUACUGUCAGCAGUGA